AUUUAAGUAGUUUAAAUAAAACAUUACAUUUUCAUUGUAAAGACAACUAAUAGUUCUUAAAUA
This 63-nucleotide transfer RNA is filed under the name Thoradonta nodulosa. RNAcentral describes it as "tRNA-Glu". It matches the Rfam family "tRNA". From Rfam's summary of the family: Transfer RNA (tRNA) molecules are approximately 80 nucleotides in length. RNAcentral also lists the same sequence under 2 other names. Lineage: Eukaryota; Metazoa; Arthropoda; Insecta; Orthoptera; Tetrigidae. The record is from RNAcentral.